Molecule: long non-coding RNA, 358 nt
Organism: Labeo rohita (rohu)
Lineage: Eukaryota; Metazoa; Chordata; Actinopteri; Cypriniformes; Cyprinidae
Exons: 3
Source: RefSeq, a predicted model, not a curated record
GUUCUUUACGACAGAUUUCACGAAAACAACACAAAAGACUCUUGCGAUAAACAGUGUGCUGAGCAGUUGUUUUCUCAAAUGAGAAAAAACAGCUACUUUCUAAAUGUUAUGAAGCCAACAAGCCAUGUGUUCCCCAUGCGAAACCAGAGACUUCAUAUGGAAACACAAUUAAAAUGGAUGAUGAGCCAAGUACACAAAAGGUAGCUGUGAGAAGGCUGAAGGAUGUAUUGUUAAACAAGAACUGCUGGAAACAACCAUUAGGUGAAGCGAUGGAAGAAAAGCUCACACGUGUGUUAGACACAUUGAAAAGUCAGAGUGAACAUGUGGCACGUGUUUAUUCAACCACCCUGAUGCGAGA